Molecule: non-coding RNA, 76 nt
Organism: Podarcis lilfordi (Lilford's wall lizard)
Lineage: Eukaryota; Metazoa; Chordata; Lepidosauria; Squamata; Lacertidae
Source: the annotation of a GenBank genome assembly
GGAGAAGACCAUAGCUCAGUGGCAGAGCAUCUGCCUUGCAUGUAGAAUGUCUUGGGUUCAGUUCCUGGCAUCUCCA